UUCGGGGUGGAUUAGUGGCGAACGGGUGAGUAACACGUGGGCAAUCUGCCCUUCACUCUGGGACAAGCCCUGGAAACGGGGUCUAAUACCGGAUAACACUCUCCUCCUCCUGGGGGUGGGUUAAAAGCUCCGGCGGUGAAGGAUGAGCCCGCGGCCUAUCAGCUUGUUGGUGGGGUAAUGGCCUACCAAGGCGACGACGGGUAGCCGGCCUGAGAGGGCGACCGGCCACACUGGGACUGAGACACGGCCCAGACUCCUACGGGAGGCAGCAGUGGGGAAUAUUGCACAAUGGGCGAAAGCCUGAUGCAGCGACGCCGCGUGAGGGAUGACGGCCUUCGGGUUGUAAACCUCUUUCAGCAGGGAAGAAGCGCAAGUGACGGUACCUGCAGAAGAAGCACCGGCUAACUACGUGCCAGCAGCCGCGGUAAUACGUAGGGUGCGAGCGUUGUCCGGAAUUAUUGGGCGUAAAGAGCUCGUAGGCGGUCUGUCACGUCGGAUGUGAAAGCCCGGGGCUUAACCCCGGGUCUGCAUUCGAUACGGGCAGACUAGAGUGUGGUAGGGGAGAUCGGAAUUCCUGGUGUAGCGGUG
RNAcentral lists this ribosomal RNA (588 nucleotides) under Streptomyces sp. B9(2012). Its description in RNAcentral is "bacterial SSU rRNA". It matches the Rfam family "Bacterial small subunit ribosomal RNA", at positions 81 to 683 of the family's 1533-position model. Lineage: Bacteria; Bacillati; Actinomycetota; Actinomycetes; Kitasatosporales; Streptomycetaceae. The record is from RNAcentral.